GUGGUGUUUGGAUCGUCCCUGCCGGCUGGCUCCGUGCCCGUCCACCGAACGGCCGGCAGGCGAUCCGCGUCGGUCGUGUGAGGAAAACAUGGUCCCCCGGAGGCUGGUUCUUGUGUUGCCUACCCCUUCAAGGGAAGCGGGCCACUUGAUGCACGCCUCCAUCCUGCGCAGCCCAGUGGGCGCAGGAGGACAACGGAGCACCCCCCGCGUUCCACCGAGCCCUUGCCGGUCGCGUGGCCCGCGGGGACGUGCGAUGCUCUCGGACCCGGCGCACGCCGUGGGCGAGGACUCACGUCCCAGUCCCAACAGAAGCCUCGAUGUAACGCAUGACGGCCGCUCCCGCCCCUCGACCGCCCCGGCGGUGCGAGGGCGAGGCGCGGCGUCGCGGAGGAAUGCUACCUGGUUGAUCCUGCCAGUAGUCAUAUGCUUGUCUCAAAGAUUAAGCCAU
This 448-nucleotide unclassified non-coding RNA is filed under the name Acacia rotundifolia. RNAcentral describes it as "partial external transcribed spacer". The stretch from base 397 to 448 matches the Rfam family "Eukaryotic small subunit ribosomal RNA", at positions 1 to 52 of the family's 1831-position model. The record is from RNAcentral. Lineage: Eukaryota; Viridiplantae; Streptophyta; Magnoliopsida; Fabales; Fabaceae.